CAGGCAUGAGCCACUGCACCCAUGCUCUUUUUAAAUACUACAAACUAUGAGGAAAAUACAAGAGGAAAUCCCAAGAUGAAUUUUUUCAAUUUUCUUUCUUUUAAUUUCUUUGUUCGAAAAUAAAAUUAGUGUUAAAGCCUCU
Cebus imitator (Panamanian white-faced capuchin) is the source of this 142-nucleotide long non-coding RNA. RefSeq lists it as uncharacterized. The transcript is spliced from 2 exons. NCBI's taxonomy places the organism in Eukaryota, Metazoa, Chordata, Mammalia, Primates, Cebidae. The record is from RefSeq and is a predicted model, not a curated record.